UUCCAUUUCUAUAUAAUAUAGUAUUUAUAAUGUUUUGCUUUAACAAAUAUUUUUCCCUAGACUAGAAAAAACUGUUUGUGUAAGAGACAUCCUUCUUUCCUUUGAAAUUGAACCUCACAAUAAAAGUUCACGCCCUAACUGUAGGGUCCACAAACUAGAAAAAUGGAGAUGAUGAAGGGCCCAACAGAGAUGUCGCAGAACGGCAGAAGCACCCCAGAAAGUCAACUUGAAGAAGGAUAUGGUGG
RNAcentral lists this long non-coding RNA (245 nucleotides) under Manihot esculenta (cassava). RNAcentral describes it as "long non-coding RNA (MESC_LNC000946)". The record is from RNAcentral. Lineage: Eukaryota; Viridiplantae; Streptophyta; Magnoliopsida; Malpighiales; Euphorbiaceae.